This 253-nucleotide ribosomal RNA is filed under the name uncultured bacterium. RNAcentral describes it as "partial 16S ribosomal RNA". It matches the Rfam family "Bacterial small subunit ribosomal RNA", at positions 524 to 776 of the family's 1533-position model. The record is from RNAcentral.
UACGUAGGGGGCAAGCGUUGUCCGGAAUCAUUGGGCGUAAAGAGCGUGUAGGCGGCCCGAUAAGUCCGCUGUGAAAGUCCAGGGCUCAACCCUGGAAUGCCGGUGGAUACUGUCGGGCUCGAAUCCGGAAGAGGUGAGUGGAAUUCCUGGUGUAGCGGUGAAAUGCGCAGAUAUCAAGAGGAACACCUGCGGCGAAGGCGGGUUGCUGGGCCGACACUGACGCUGAGGCGCGAAAGCCAGGGGAGCGAACGGG